This 76-nucleotide ribosomal RNA is filed under the name Halopseudomonas pachastrellae. RNAcentral's name for it is "Pseudomonas pachastrellae 23S rRNA. Bacterial LSU". It matches the Rfam family "Bacterial large subunit ribosomal RNA", at positions 2851 to 2925 of the family's 2925-position model. The record is from RNAcentral. Lineage: Bacteria; Pseudomonadati; Pseudomonadota; Gammaproteobacteria; Pseudomonadales; Pseudomonadaceae.
CGUUGAUAGGUUGGGUGUGUAAGCGCUGUGAGGCGUUGAGCUAACCAAUACUAAUUGCCCGUGUGGCUUGACCAUA